GAGUAAGUGAACAAGGGCGUACGGGGGAUGCCUAGGCUCCCAGAGGCGAAGAAGGACGUGACAAGCUGCGAAAAGCCGCGGGGACCCGCAAGCGGGGCUGAUCCGCGGAUGUCCGAAUGGGGCAACCCACCCCGAUUUAUCGGGGUAUCCAUGUAAAUGGAGGCAAACCCGCUGAACUGAAACAUCUAAGUAAGCGGAGGAGGAGAAAACAAGAGUGAUUCCGUGAGUAGUGGCGAGCGAAAGCGGAACAGCCCAAACCGUGCAUGUUACGGCAUGUACGGGGUAAUAGGACCUGUAUAAUUUCAAUGAAUGUGACCUGAAUUGUCUGGGAAGGCAAACGGUAGAGGGUGAGAGUCCCGUAGGGGAAGCAUGAAUUGUGAGACGGGUAUCCUGAGUAGGCCGGGACAGGAGAAAUCCCGGUUGAAUUGUCCGGCACCAUCCGGAAAGGCUAAAUACUCCUGGGAGACCGAUAGUGAACAAGUACCGUGAGGGAAAGGUGAAAAGUACCGUGAACAACGGGGUGAAAUAGAACCUGAAACCGUGCGCCUACAAGCGGUCGGAGCCCUGAGAUGGGGUGACGGCGUGCCUUUUGCAUAAUGAGCCUACGAGUUGCACCUCACUGGCAAGGUUAAGGGUCUUGAGGCCCGCAGCCGGAGCGAAAGCGAGUCUGAACAGGGCGCUGAGUCAGUGGGGGCAGACGCGAAACUUUGUGAUCUACCCAUGGACAGGUUGAAGCGGCGGUAAGACGCCGUGGAGGACCGAACCGAUAAACGUUGAAAAGUUUCCGGAUGAUCUGUGGGUAGGGGUGAAAGGCCAAUCAAACUGAGAAAUAGCUCGUACUCCCCGAAAUGUUUUUAGGAACAGCGUCGCGGAAUGUAUGACGGAGGUAGAGCUACCGAUAGGACUAGGGGGAGUCAUAUCCUACCAAAUCCUGACGAACUCCGAAUGCCGUCAUACAGUAGCGGCAGUGAGGGCAUGGGUGCUAAGGUCCGUGUCCGAGAGGGAAAGAACCCGGACCUACCGCUAAGGUCCCGGAAUUUACGCUAAGUUGAACAAAGGCGGUCCAGCUGCAGAGACAGCCAGGAGGUUAGCUUGGAAGCAGCUAUUCCUUUAAAGAGUGCGUAACAGCUCACUGGUCGAGCGGCAGGGCGUCGAUAAUAAACGGGCAUCAAGUGUAAUACCGAAGCGUAGGAUUUCCUCCCGUACCUACGGGGGGAUCUGGUAGGGGAGCAUUCCAAACACGGUGAAUGCACAUGGCGAUGUGUGCUGGAGAGUUUGGAAAAGCAAAUGUAGGCAUAAGUAACGAUAAUGGGGGCGGGAAACCCCCACACCGAUAGACCAAGGUUUCCUGAUCAACGCUAAUCGGAUCAGGGUCAGUCGGGGCCUAAGGAUAACCCGAAGGGGGAUUCCGAUGGAAAAUGGGUUGAUAUUCCCAUACCUGUCAUACAGGUGACGGAGUGACGGAGUGUUGUAAGGACCGCGCGGUGACGGAAUACCGCGUUGAAGGGAGUAGGUAUUGUUUCCAUAGUCAAAUGCGUGGAGAUAGCCGAACCUGAAAGUACCGCAAUCCUUCGGGAGCGCGGAUAGAGUCCCCAAAAGCUUCCAAGAAAAACUUCUGGCGAUAAGCGUAUGACAGCCCGUACCGCAAACCGACACAGGUGGUCAAGGAGAGAAUCCUGAGGUGCUCGAGUGAAUCAUGGCUAAGGAACUCGGCAAAAUGGCCCUGUAACUUCGGGAGAAGGGGCGCCUAUCCGCCAGCGAUGGCGGGAGGCCGCAGUGAAAAGGCCCAGGCGACUGUUUAGCAAAAACACAUGGCUUUGCGAAAUCGAGAGAUGAAGUAUAAGGCCUGACACCUGCCCGGUGCCGGAAGGUUAAGAGGGGAUGUCACCGCAAGGGAAGCAUUGAAUCGAAGCCCCGGUAAACGGCGGCCGUAACUAUAACGGUCCUAAGGUAGCGAAAUUCCUUGUCGGGUAAGUUCCGACCUGCACGAAUGGUGUAACGAUCUGGGCGCUGUCUCAGCCAUGAGCUCGGUGAAAUUGUAGUCACGGUGAAGAUGCCGUGUACCCGCAACGGGACGGAAAGACCCCAUGAACCUUUACUGCAGCUUAGCAUUGGUAUCGGGUAAACGAUGUGUAGGAUAGGCGGGAGACAGUGAAGCGGCGUCGCCAGGCGCUGUGGAGUCAAUGUUGAAAUACCGCCCUUUGUUUGCCUGGUAUCUAACCCCGUAUGUACGGGGGACAUUGCUUGGUGGGUAGUUUGACUGGGGUGGUCGCCUCCAAAAGGAUAACGGAGGCUUCCAAAGGUUCCCUCAGCACGCUUGGUAACCGUGCGCGGAGUGCAAUAGCAUAAGGGGGCUUGACUGUAAGGCCGACAAGCCGAGCAGGGUGGAAACACGGGUAUAGUGAUCCGGCGGUACUGCAUGGAAAGGCCGUCGCUCAAAGGAUAAAAGGUACUCUGGGGAUAACAGGCUGAUCUCCCCCAAGAGCUCAUAUCGACGGGGAGGUUUGGCACCUCGAUGUCGGCUCGUCACAUCCUGGGGCUGGAGAAGGUCCCAAGGGUUGGGCUGUUCGCCCAUUAAAGUGGCACGCGAGCUGGGUUCAGAACGUCGUGAGACAGUUCGGUCCCUAUCUGUUGCGGGCGUGGGAAGUUUGGGGAGUGCUGACCUUAGUACGAGAGGACCGGGUUGGACUGACCGCUGGUGUACCGGUUGUGGUGCCAACUGCACUGCCGGGUAGCUACGUCGGGAAGGGAUAAGCGCUGAAAGCAUCUAAGUGCGAAACCCCCUCCGAGAUGAGACUUCCAAACAGGGCCGUCAGAGACGAUGACGUUGAUAGGCUGCAGGUGUAAAGCCAGGAAUGGCAAAGCCGAGCAGUACUAAUAGCCCGAAAACUUGCUUCA
Molecule: ribosomal RNA, 2898 nt
Organism: Aquiflexum balticum DSM 16537
Lineage: Bacteria; Pseudomonadati; Bacteroidota; Cytophagia; Cytophagales; Cyclobacteriaceae
Rfam family: Bacterial large subunit ribosomal RNA
Source: Rfam